RNAcentral lists this small RNA (93 nucleotides) under Arabidopsis thaliana (thale cress). Its description in RNAcentral is "ATSL020970". The record is from RNAcentral. Lineage: Eukaryota; Viridiplantae; Streptophyta; Magnoliopsida; Brassicales; Brassicaceae.
AAGUAAUACUUGAAGGCGACUGCAAGCUCCUAGUCAAUGUUCUGAAUGGAAGAGGCUGAAGAUUUGAUGCUAUCAAUUGGAUCCAUGAAAUCC